GCCCUUGUAACUCAGUGGCUAGAGUGCGUCACUAGUAUUACUAGGAAUGACGUGGUCGUCAGUUCGAUUCUGGCUGAGGGCA
This is a non-coding RNA of Canariomyces notabilis, 82 nucleotides long. Lineage: Eukaryota; Fungi; Ascomycota; Sordariomycetes; Sordariales; Chaetomiaceae. The record is from the annotation of a RefSeq genome assembly.